This is a long non-coding RNA of Sebastes umbrosus (honeycomb rockfish), 475 nucleotides long. RefSeq lists it as uncharacterized. The transcript is spliced from 3 exons. The record is from RefSeq and is a predicted model, not a curated record. NCBI's taxonomy places the organism in Eukaryota, Metazoa, Chordata, Actinopteri, Perciformes, Sebastidae.
ACACAGGAGAUUUAACUUUAACUUUCCAUAACAGUCACGUCAUUUUUAUCAUAAAUGUAGUUACAGAAAUAUUGUCGUUAGUUUGUGAUUGGCUCGGGCAGGUGUGUGGGCGGGAUCUCGAUACUGCGUCUAACCAAGGUAGACCUCCACCUUCUGCCGUUUGACAUUGUUCGCCCACUCCUCCAGCAGCUGGGCUUUGAUGAUGGGCUCCAGGGAAGCCAGUGGCACCUCCUGCCGAGGCAGAACGAUCAUCAUGGACAUGUCCUCCCCCUCGUAGGGCAUCUCCAACACCUGGUACACACCGCCGGCUUCCUGUGAGCCGUCGCUGAACUCACCUGCUGUUGAUCUGGUCGGCCACGGCUGCCGAUUCGCUGAAGUCUACCGUUUCCACGUCAGCCCGGAAGUACUUCCUCAUCAGGUGAAGGAACUCAGGGUUAAAGGUGACGCCUUCCUGCAGGAAAAGGCUGUUGGCGAA